ACUCCUACGGGAGGCAGCAGUGAGGAAUAUUGGACAAUGGGCGCAAGCCUGAUCCAGCCAUGCCGCGUGCAGGAUGACGGUCCUAUGGAUUGUAAACUGCUUUUGCACAGGAAGAAACAACAUUACGUGUAAUGUCUUGACGGUACUGUGAGAAUAAGGAUCGGCUAACUCCGUGCCAGCAGCCGCGGUAAUACGGGGGGACUCCUACGGGAGGCAGCAGCCAGCAGCCGCGGUAAU
This 237-nucleotide ribosomal RNA is filed under the name uncultured bacterium. RNAcentral's name for it is "partial 16S ribosomal RNA". The stretch from base 1 to 203 matches the Rfam family "Bacterial small subunit ribosomal RNA", at positions 335 to 535 of the family's 1533-position model. The record is from RNAcentral.